Long non-coding RNA from Gasterosteus aculeatus aculeatus (three-spined stickleback), 1132 nucleotides. Lineage: Eukaryota; Metazoa; Chordata; Actinopteri; Perciformes; Gasterosteidae. The record is from Ensembl.
CAAAUUUCCUCAAAACCAUCAAAGACAUCUCUUGAAUGUAAGAACAACUCGUGGAAAACGGGUUUUAUUUAAAGUUGUCAACACAUGAGGUUCAAAGCGUCAUACAAAACCAUUUUGGGAAUGACCCCCCGCCACCUCUCAAAUCUUCUGCACAUUUCCGACGGCAGUGACUUCAUUCGGCUCAUCAUUCCAAAAGUCCGUACUGUGUUUGGCAAAAACUAACUAACAGCCCUCACCUCUCUCAACAUGUUCAAACAUAAGUAACGAGCCACAGUUGACUGCUGUACUUGCUGACCAGCCCUCACUUCUCUCUUUCAUUUUUCACAAAGUACUUCCAGUAAUUUGCCUUUUUUUUGUACAUAGUGUUUAUUAAUUUAACUGUUGUUUUUAGCCAUGUGUUUGUCAUACUGUGUUGUGUCUGUGCUGUUUGUGACUGUGCUGCUGCCUCUUGGCCAUCAAAGCCUCUUCACAAGGUUUUCAUUUCAUUAAAAAGAGCAGUUUAACUCGCUAAAAGUGUUUUUUACAAUGUGGCGACUAGAGGCUAACGGUAGCUAACAUUAGCACGAACAGGGCAAACAGCGGCAACAGUGUUGAUGGAGGUAAAAGUGCUGAUGGAGGUAUGAAAGUACUGAUGAAGGUAACAGUGCUGAUGGAGGCAACAGUGCUGAUGAAGGUAAAAGUGCUGAUGGAGGUAUGAAAGUACUGAUGAAGGUAACUGUGCUGAUGGAGGUUACAGUGCUGAUGAAGGUAAAAGUACUGAUGAAGGUAACAGUGCUGAUGAAGGUAACAGUGCUGAUGGAGGUAAAAGUGCUGAUGGAGGUAGCGUAGACCACACAAGGGCGGGUGCAGCACCUCCAGGAAGGCCUCGCGGGUUGGGGCGACGUUAUCAGAUGUAACCGCAGAGAUAAGCAGCCGCUCAUAGCGACAUCAUUGUCUGCUUCGGGUUGUCCAGCUUUGAUUUGAUUGAUGUGUAAUUCUGCACGGCGACGGUCAAACAGGUGAAACGCAAUGUGUUGUUAUUAUUUGUUGGACUUUUGGAUUUGCUCUUUUUUUCCUUCUCCUUUACCAUAAAAUAAUGUAUUGAGUCUUGCAGGAUAUUGAUGCAGUAAUGCAGUAUUUUCUAUCAUCAUGA